UGCGUAGGUGGCGGGGUAAGUUGGAUGUGAAAUCCUGGGGCUCAACCCUAGAACUGCAUUCAAUACUGCCUUGCUAGAGUACUGGAGAGGAGAUUGGAAUUUACGGUGUAGCAGUGAAAUGCGUAGAUAUCGUAAGGAAGACCGGUGGCGAAGGCGGAUCUCUGGACAGUUACUGACACUGAGGCACGAAGGGCCAGGGGAAGGCAAAACG
Molecule: ribosomal RNA, 211 nt
Filed under: uncultured bacterium
Lineage: Bacteria
Description: partial 16S ribosomal RNA
Rfam family: Bacterial small subunit ribosomal RNA
Source: RNAcentral